UCUAAUUGUGGCGCAGAACGGAUCAUCCACUCACCUGAAAUCUUAUACGGUUCCUGGUUCCUCUUCCUCUUAUUUUUCUCCACAUUCUAUUACAUGUUCUGCGCAUCCUGCGGUGACACGCGAAGGCUAUUGGUCCUGCUUCUACUCCUUCUUCUUCGCACACAAGCAAUGGUAGUGAUUCACGAAGGCAGGCUGGUCGUGCCAUCAACAACAACAACUAUCGAACGCCGAUGACGAUGCUCCUACUUCUUGCCGUGUUGAAGCGAGCAUUCCUUCGAAUAUACGACACAGGCUUCCAUCCUGACUGACAAGAAAGUGGAAAUCGGAAGUAAAAGCAUGCAAACGAAUGAUUUACCAUCAACACCUCUCAACCUUUCUCCAGUGAUUAUUUCAACGCCUAUUGUCCAUACACCCUCAUGCUCACAGGUGCAUGAUAUGACAAUAUCUUCACCACUGGUGGAACCAGCUGAUGAGGCUUCUGGGAAUCUGAAGACAACAGUUUUGAAUGUGUUGCGCCCUCUGCUUCACCAGACCACAAGAAGUACGUCAUAUUCGGAGCUCCACUAUUAGAACUGUUCGAGAAAUGCAGGACUUAUAGUGCAUCGCACAAAGUGGGCACAGAUGUUCGCGGCACACUUCUCACCGCAAAAGCUGAGUGCCCAAGUGAACACACAUUAUCUUGGUAGAGCCAGCCAGAGGUGAACAAGAUGGCUGCAGGGAACGCCUUGCUGUUUGGCGUAAUCCUUUUCAGUGGGGCCAGCGCAGCCAAGUGCUCACGGUCAAACCGUCCGGUGUACUUCUGUCAAGAUGGCAGACAACACGUAUACUGCACCACACAUCGCGAAGGCGAAAGCCUUCGUAUGCUUCACAAGGAAAGUUUCCUCUUAU
Molecule: long non-coding RNA, 888 nt
Organism: Ornithodoros turicata
Lineage: Eukaryota; Metazoa; Arthropoda; Arachnida; Ixodida; Argasidae
Exons: 5
Source: RefSeq, a predicted model, not a curated record